AGGAAACAGAGGCUACAAUUCAUACAGGCUCACCAAAAUUGGACAAAAGAAGAUUGGAAAAAUGUUGCCUGGUCGGUCCGUGUAUCUUUUGGUCAUUGGAUUUUCCUUUCAGAAACGGAUAUCAAAAAACAAAAAACAAGUGGUUAUUUGAUUUUUGUUUUAAAAUACAAAAUUUAAAAUUAAAAUACAAAGCGUUUCUCUUUUUCAGUGUCAAAAAGAGAUGAGCGAAAUUUUAAAAAUGAUUUGAAUUUCAAUUUCUAUUUCGGAUAUCAAAAAAUAAAGUUACUUUAGAACAGAAACGAAAAAAAGGCCCGUUUGUUCAUAUUCCGAGACCGGAUGUGGUUAGCACUCACGUGACAAGAGCGCCACAUUUGACAGAGUGACAGUCUGCUUAGCCCAGAAUAAAAUGUCUUUGGAAACUUACUCAGUUAUGAUUUUAGACAUGGCAAAACAAGGCCUGUCAUCCACAGAAAUCUCAGCGCAGAUAUCACAAGUAAAUGGGGGAGCAAGAGGAUGUUCCGCAAGAAACGUGAGGAGAUUUUGCAGUGAAAAUGGAUUAAGUUUGAUGGGACUCCCUGACGCACAUUUGGAGUUGGAGGUGGCAAAAGCUAUAACCGAGACUGGACCUACAUAUGGAAGAAAGAUGAUGAAGGUGUAUCUCGCCAUGAAAGGAGUGCAUGCUGCAGAAACACGAAUUGGAUCAGCGCUCAGAACUAUGCAUCAGCCAUACCAUGAAGCAAGACGUCAGGGUGCCCGCAAUCUCAACCCCAUACCAUAUCAAGCUGAUUACAUGGGUCAAAAGGUUCAUAUGGACCAAAACGAAAAACUGGCUAUGUUUGGGGUUACCCAUGUUUUAGCCAUUGAUGGCUUCAGCAAAAAGAUUGUUGCUCAUUCUACAAUGCCUAUAAAAAACAACCUUGCCAUCUAUGAAGAUGUUUUCAGGCCUGCAGUACUUGCCUAUGGUAUGUGGGACCAGGUACGAGUAGAUCAUGGCAAGGAGUUUUAUUUGACGCUUUUCAUGCAGGAGCUGCUGUCAUCUCACCGCCAUAAUCAGGAGCGAAGGCCAUAUUUACAGACUUCAUCCACAAAGAAUCAUAUAGUUGAACGAAUCUGGCCUGAAGUCAACAAUCAUGUCAACUAUCCACUGAAGACAGCACUUACGGGGUUGGUGGAUCAAGAGGAAAUAGACAUGAACGACUCCCUUGUGAGAUAUUGUGUGUCCAACCUUACUGGCCGCUUGUGUGAGAUUGGUCUUACAAGGCUGGUGGAGUCAUGGAAUGCUCAUAGAAUUCCAGGUAAAGGAACACCAAAUGACUUGGCUGGCCGUGGGUGUCCCAAAAAAAUCCAACAGGAGCUGUUGCCUCAUUCAGCUGAAGCAGCAGACCUUUACAGCCAACAGCUGGGAUCAUCACUGACCAGGCAUUCAACUUUUGGAGUUGAUCCAUUUUCAACUGAACAGGACAAGAUUACAGUUGAGAACCAGUUUGCCGAGCAUUAUUCAGACAUGUCAGAAUUGUACUCUAGAGCAGUGAACAAUGACUUUGCCCCAUACAAACAGGCAUUGCUCUGUCUUAUAACCACAACUCAGCGCAAUGUGUGAAAAGCCAUUAGCUCUAUUUAACUUGAAGACUGUUAACUUUAAAUUUGUGUAAAAAUUCAACGUUACUCCUCUUCAAAAAGGGAUCUCAGAACAGAAAAUGUCUCUGACAGACCAUUAAUUUCAAAUAUGGUGUUGUUUGCAGUGUUCCCUCUACAUUUUGCACAGUGCACAGAGGUCUCCUGCCACUGUACCACACAUGUUUUGCAGCCAAUAAUGCUCCGGCAACACUCUGUGAAGACUGGCUCCUCGAUGAAUUCUAAAAGACAAAAUGAGAAAAACUAGUCAUUCUGUGUGUGUGUGUGUGUGUGUGUGUCCAUAUGACCUUAACUCUUAACCAGCACCCGUAUUUUUUGAGAAUUUUCUGAAAAUGACAUGUAACCAACUACAAAUGUCUGUAGCUCUUAAACCCUAUAGUCCACAUUCAUAACUGGUCUUUUUUUUAAACUAGACAGUUUAAACCUUUUUACCAGAGAGUCAUUAUAAUUCAAAGCAGCAAAGAAAGAGUAAAACAAGGUAAACAUUUUACAUGAAAAGUUACUUACGAUUUCUUUGAAUGAACUUAACUUAUGGAAACAUUUAUCAGACUUUUAUGUUAAAGGCCUGAAAACAACAAAGAUCAAAUUUAAUGUCUGGACCAUGUUUUGAUUCAAAUUUGAGAAUAAAACUCCCAGUCCCAACAAUUUAGUUUCUGUUAGCUUUUAUUCAUGAAAAGUAAAGGCGUCAUUUCUAAAAGGCCAAAUGGAGAGCUUGCAAUCGAUUUUGGUUGGUUAUUACUCCCAUCAAUCAAAACUUUGCUGACUAGACAUUGGCUUGGUUUUCAAACCUUUUAACUACUUGGAAACCGAGGAGCGCAAGUGACAGGUCGUGCAACCAGUUUUGGAUUAAAAACUGGGACGCAUUUUGAAGAAUAGAUCCUUACAUUGAAAUUUAAUUGUUUUUUGGAUUCGUCCGAACUGAUCUGAACCAUAAGAGAUAAAAGAUAAGUAUUGCUGUUCAUUUUGCUCAUGUUUACAUUAUCAGUCCUUCAGGAUUUCAUUUAACCCUUUCCUCUCUUAUGUACUGGUUGCAAAAACAUGUUCAGAACAUGAUUCUUAAAUGUUUUAGCUUUCAAAUGAUGCAUAGAUUUAUCAUAGUCAGUUGAAUAUUUGUUAUAAAACAAAGGUAAAUAAAUGUAAUAAAAAAGUAUAGACAUCCCCAGCGUAUCCGGGCCAGGAUGAUACCAUCCAUGAAGUUAAUAGCCGUGUCUGAAAUCCAUCCCUAUCCACUAUUUAGGGUGUCUGCCAUUUUCUAGUGGUGUCCGAAUUCUGAUUGAACGAC
This is a long non-coding RNA of Cyprinus carpio carpio, 2917 nucleotides long. NCBI's taxonomy places the organism in Eukaryota, Metazoa, Chordata, Actinopteri, Cypriniformes, Cyprinidae. The record is from Ensembl.